RNAcentral lists this ribosomal RNA (389 nucleotides) under uncultured bacterium. RNAcentral's name for it is "bacterial SSU rRNA". It matches the Rfam family "Bacterial small subunit ribosomal RNA", at positions 28 to 417 of the family's 1533-position model. The record is from RNAcentral.
GACGAACGCUGGCGGCGUGCUUAACACAUGCAAGUCGAGCGGUAAGGGCCCUUUCGGGGGUACACGAGCGGCGAACGGGUGAGUAACACGUGGGUGACCUGCCCUCAGCUCUGGGAUAAGCCUGGGAAACCGGGUCUAAUACUGGAUAUGACUCCAUGACGCAUGUUGUGGGGUGGAAAGCCUUGUGCGGCUGAGGAUGGGCCCGCGGCCUAUCAGCUUGUUGGUGGGGUGAUGGCCUACCAAGGCGACGACGGGUAGCCGGCCUGAGAGGGCGACCGGCCACACUGGGACUGAGACACGGCCCAGACUCCUACGGGAGGCAGCAGUGGGGAAUCUUGCGCAAUGGGCGAAAGCCUGACGCAGCGACGCCGCGUGAGGGAUGACGGCCU